AGAGAUUGCCCCAGUAACGGCGAGUGAAGCGGCAAGAGCUCAAAUUUUAAAUCUGGGGUCUCCGGCCCCCGAGUUGUAAUUUGGAGAGGCAUCUUCGGGAGGAGCGCUGGCCAAUGUUCCUUGGAACAGGACGUCGCAGAGGGUGAGAAUCCCGUGCCAGGCCAGCCGCGCCCUUCCACGUGAAGCGCCUUCGACGAGUCGAGUUGUUUGGGAAUGCAGCUCCAAGUGGGUGGUAAAUUUCAUCUAAAGCUAAAUACCGGCGAGAGACCGAUAGCGCACAAGUAGAGUGAUCGAAAGAUGAAAAGCACUUUGAAAAUAGAGUCAAAAAGUACGUGAAAUUGUUGAAAGGGAAGCGCUUGAGACCAGACUCGGAGCGAGGCAAACAUCUGGCCCCGCGGGGCCGUGCACUUGCCUCGGGCCGGGCCAGCAUCAGUUGGUGCGGCGGGAGAAAGGCGCGGGGAAUGUGGCUCCCCUCGGGGAGUGUUAUUAGCCCCGUGCUCAAUGCCGCCCGCACCGACUGAGGACCGCGCUUCGGCUAGGAUGCUGGCUUAAUGGCCUUCAGCGACCCGUCUUGAAACACGGACCAAGGAGUCUAACAUCUAUGCGAGUGUUUGGGUGCCAAACCCUUUCGCGGAAUGAAAGUGAACGGAGGUGGGAACCCCUCGCCGGGCGCACCAUCGACCGAUCCUGAUGUCUUCGGAUGGAUUUGAGUAGGA
Molecule: ribosomal RNA, 716 nt
Filed under: Dissingia confusa
Lineage: Eukaryota; Fungi; Ascomycota; Pezizomycetes; Pezizales; Helvellaceae
Description: partial 28S large subunit ribosomal RNA
Rfam family: Eukaryotic large subunit ribosomal RNA
Source: RNAcentral